AGACGAUUAGUCCAAUGAAAGACCACUGAUUUCGGCUCAGUAGAACAUGGUUCAACUCCAUGAUCGCCUU
RNAcentral lists this transfer RNA (70 nucleotides) under Xenomystax atrarius (deepwater conger). RNAcentral's name for it is "tRNA-Arg". It matches the Rfam family "tRNA". From Rfam's summary of the family: Transfer RNA (tRNA) molecules are approximately 80 nucleotides in length. Their secondary structure includes four short double-helical elements and three loops (D, anti-codon, and T loops). Further hydrogen bonds mediate the characteristic L-shaped molecular structure. tRNAs have two regions of fundamental functional importance: the anti-codon, which is responsible for specific mRNA codon recognition, and the 3' end, to which the tRNAs corresponding amino acid is attached (by aminoacyl-tRNA synthetases). tRNAs cope with the degeneracy of the genetic code in two manners: having more than one tRNA (with a specific anti-codon) for a particular amino acid; and 'wobble' base-pairing, i.e. permitting non-standard base-pairing at the 3rd anti-codon position. Lineage: Eukaryota; Metazoa; Chordata; Actinopteri; Anguilliformes; Congridae. The record is from RNAcentral.